Molecule: transfer RNA, 85 nt
Filed under: Alphaproteobacteria bacterium
Lineage: Bacteria; Pseudomonadati; Pseudomonadota; Alphaproteobacteria
Description: tRNA-Leu
Rfam family: tRNA
About the family: Transfer RNA (tRNA) molecules are approximately 80 nucleotides in length. Their secondary structure includes four short double-helical elements and three loops (D, anti-codon, and T loops).
Source: RNAcentral
GGGCCGGUGGUGGAAUUGGUAGACACGUAGGAUUUAGGUUCCUAUGCCGUGAGGUGUGAAGGUUCAAGUCCUUUCCGGCCUACCA